Triticum urartu is the source of this 1661-nucleotide non-coding RNA. Lineage: Eukaryota; Viridiplantae; Streptophyta; Magnoliopsida; Poales; Poaceae. The record is from RefSeq and is a predicted model, not a curated record.
UGUCAUACUUAUGGUGUGAUAAUCUUGGAGCAACAUAUUUGUCUGCAAACCCUGUGUUUCAUGCCAGAACAAAACACAUAGAGAUUGACUUUCACUUUGUACGUGAAAGAGUUGCACAGAAACUUUUGGAGAUAAAAUUCAUCCCAACUGGAGAUCAAGUUGCAGAUGGGUUCACUAAACCACUACAAGUUCCACAGCUUCAAGCCUUCAAGAACAAUCUCAACCUUGACAUGUUAAGAUUGAGGGAGGAUGUUAAAAGGUAGAUUGUAGCGUGUCAACUUUGUACGUAUUUGUGUAUGCGUUGUAUGAGUUGGUUGUAAUCGAGGUAGGUUGUUAGAAUUCGGCCUUAUCUUGUAUAGCUUGGAUUAGGGGCCAAGACUUCAACAACCUACCUCACCGCAUGUACUCUGUGCUAUAUAUAUCAACAUGAACGCGUCCCUGAUAAGAUUAUCAAACGCUUAACCUAGUUUCUUUCAGUGAGCUGUUGAUAAGUUGAUUUCUCUUUUGUUCAAGCAGUAGGUACUAGCUACUAGCUACCAGAUGAGAUGUUUCGAUUCAUCUCUCUUUUUAUUGUCUCUUAUAGCGAUGAUGAGCUGCGCUGUUAUAUGAUGGCAUCGGAGUCUAAUUAUAGCACCAUGCUUCUGCACCCAAAUCGUCUGCAUAUAUUUCCAAGGCUACAGCUUACAGGUGACUGAUUUUUCCUAGAUUUCCUUUCAGCUUAUAUUUCCCCUGUUUUUUGUACAAAAGAAGAAAAUAACAUUCUGUUCUUUAAACAUAAACCCCAAAUUAUAGGCCAUACAAUCUGCACUGUAAGUUGAUGCCUGUCGUCUCCAAACAGAACUAGUUCUUUUUCAUAUGGUCAGCUUGCUCUAUUAUAUACUCUCACCAUUACGAUAUGGGCUACCUCCUCAUCUCUUAUAUAAUUUGAAGCACCCCUUUUGUUGACACACUUUACACGAAGUUGGGAUUUCUCAACCUGGGACAAGCUGGAGCAUGGCAUGACUAAGCUCAUAAUGCAAUUAAUGCGACUUAUGGCGGCACAUUACCUGAUUUUCCGAUGAAGGUUGUAUAAUAGCAAGGUGCCAACUGGAGGAAGGUAUAGUCCAAUGGAAGUACCAGAGGAAUCUUGAUAUAACGGGGGAGCUGGAGCAACUCUCAGGUAUAUGAGGUCUGAGCAGGGUGCAUGCCUCUGCAGCUGAAGUGAACAAAACAUUUUAGCCAUCCGGUGCUUGAAAAGGAAACUGAAUGUUCUGAAGUGUGAACUGUGAUCACACCAUAAAUGCUGGGGCGACGACAUUGGAAAAUGCAAUGGACUACACCACACAAAAUGCUGCUACCAAUCAAGCUGCAUAUAUGUACUGUUAUGCUGCAAUUGACCAUCACGUUCAGCUCUCUAAGUUCUCUACUGGCUGCUGGCCUCUGAUAUGGUGCAAGAUGAAGCUGAGAGGGACCUCGACAUUACUACACUGCGAAUGGAAGAGGAUUGCAUUGAUCUGGGGCUUCAAUGUAAUGAAGGGGGGUAGCAAGCUGUUGCAACUGUUUUCAAUGUAAUGCCAUCUUGAGAUCUCAGAAGGUUUACAAGUUGCAACUAGCCCAGAUGAAAAACUGGGUUCCUGGGGAACACCAUGGAAAUGGAAUAGAUGAUGAACGUGAUGAGAAUA